Molecule: microRNA precursor, 73 nt
Filed under: Colobus angolensis palliatus
Lineage: Eukaryota; Metazoa; Chordata; Mammalia; Primates; Cercopithecidae
Description: miRNA (ENSCANG00000012563.1)
Rfam family: mir-663 microRNA precursor family (bases 1-62)
Source: RNAcentral
ACCGCCCUCGUGUCUGUGGUGGUUGCAUCCCGUGGCCGUGUUUUCCUGGUGGCCCGGCUGUGCCUGAGGUUUC